This 94-nucleotide small RNA is filed under the name Salmonella enterica subsp. enterica serovar Heidelberg. Its description in RNAcentral is "partial RtT sRNA". It matches the Rfam family "RtT RNA", at positions 1 to 93 of the family's 130-position model. From Rfam's summary of the family: This family represents a bacterial cis-regulatory element known as RtT RNA. The exact function of RtT is unknown although it is thought that it may be involved in changing the cellular response in relation to amino acid starvation. The record is from RNAcentral. Lineage: Bacteria; Pseudomonadati; Pseudomonadota; Gammaproteobacteria; Enterobacterales; Enterobacteriaceae. RNAcentral also lists the same sequence under 2 other names.
AUAUCUCUCUGUACGGGAAGGAUGAGAAGCUUCUACCAGGGUUCGAUUCGAGCGCAGCGAGAAAGCGUUGCCGCAGGCAACGACCCGAAGGGCG